Molecule: ribosomal RNA, 253 nt
Filed under: uncultured bacterium
Lineage: Bacteria
Description: partial 16S ribosomal RNA
Rfam family: Bacterial small subunit ribosomal RNA
Source: RNAcentral
UACGUAUGGAGCAAGCGUUAUCCGGAUUUACUGGGUAUAAAGGGAGCGUAGGCGGCAUACCAAGCCUGAUGUGAAAACCCGGGGCCCAACCCCGGGAGUGCAUUGGGAACUGGCAAGCUAGAGUGUCGGAGAGGCAGGCGGAAUUCCUAGUGUAGCGGUGAAAUGCGUAGAUAUUAGGAGGAACACCAGUGGCGAAGGCGGCCUGCUGGACGAUGACUAACGCUGAGGCUCGAAAGCGUGGGGAGCAAACAGG